This 450-nucleotide ribosomal RNA is filed under the name uncultured bacterium. Its description in RNAcentral is "bacterial SSU rRNA". It matches the Rfam family "Bacterial small subunit ribosomal RNA", at positions 355 to 796 of the family's 1533-position model. The record is from RNAcentral.
UGGGGAAUCUUGGACAAUGGGGGAAACCCUGAUCCAGCGACGCCGCGUGGGUGAUGAAGGCCUUCGGGUCGUAAAGCCCUGUCGGGAGGGACGAAACUCUUGCCGGUAAAUAAUCGGCGAGAUUGACGGUACCUCUAAAGGAAGCACCGGCUAACUCUGUGCCAGCAGCCGCGGUAAGACAGAGGGUGCUAGCGUUGUUCGGAAUUACUGGGCGUAAAGGGCGCGUAGGCGGUCCGCUAAGUUCGGCGUGAAAGCCCCUGGCUCAACUGGGGAACUGCGCUGGAUACUGGCGGACUUGAGUACCGGAGAGGAGAGUGGAAUUCCUGGUGUAGCGGUGAAAUGCGUAGAUAUCAGGAGGAACACCGGUGGCGAAGGCGGCUCUCUGGACGGAUACUGACGCUGAGGCGCGAAAGCGUGGGGAUCAAACAGGAUUAGAUACCCCCGUAGUCC